Dreissena polymorpha is the source of this 1038-nucleotide long non-coding RNA. RefSeq lists it as uncharacterized. The transcript has 3 exons. NCBI's taxonomy places the organism in Eukaryota, Metazoa, Mollusca, Bivalvia, Myida, Dreissenidae. The record is from RefSeq and is a predicted model, not a curated record.
UUUUGCACUAUAUAAAAUACAUUCACGAUAUUAUAUCUGACCUAUGAUAAGCGUGAAUCGGGACUUGUGUAGAGUCUGGUCCAAGUCCAGCAAUGUAACUUCAUGUCCGCAGUAAUUGUGUAGUUGUUAUCUUGUCAUCCUUUUCUUUUCCCAUAUACAUGUAACAGUCUUCUGUGGAUCUCCAUGAACUUUUCCAAAAAAAAGCUUAUUGUUAGAUCCACAUUCUCAGCCUAAAGUGGGACAAGCAUAUAAAAGCUUAGGUCACCAAAUAAAAUAUUAGAAAAACCUUGUUACUACUGUUCAUGCAACAUUUAUGACUCAUUUUUGAUGAAACUUGUUCUUAAUGUUUUUUAUGCCCCCCUUCGAAGAAGAGGGGGUAUAUUGCUUUGCACAUGUCUGUCUGUCCGUCAGUCCGUCCACCAGGUGGUUUCCGGAUGAUAACUCAAGAACGCUUAGGCCUAGGAUCAUGAAACUUCAUAGGUACAUUGAUCAUGACUCGCAGAUGACCCCUAUUGAUUUUGAGGUCACUAGGUCAAAGGUCAAGGUCACGGUGACCGGAAAUAGUAAAAUGGUUUCCGGAUGAUAACUCAAGAACGCUAAGGCCUAGGAUCAUGAAACUUGAUAGGUAGAUUGAUCAUGACUCGCAGAUGACCCUUAUUGAUUUUCAGGUCACUAGGUCAAAGGUCAAGGUCUCAGUGACCCGAAAUAGUAAAAUGGUUUCCGGAUGAUAACUCAAGAACGCUUAUGCUUAGGAUCAUGAAACUUCGUAGGUAGAUUGAUCAUGACUUGCAGAUGACCCCUAUUGAUUUUCAGGUCACUAGGUCAAAGGUCAAGGUCACGGUGACCCGAAAUAGUAAAAUGGUUUCCGGAUGAUAACUCAAGAACGCUUAUGCCUAGGAUCAUGAAACUUGAUAGGUAGAUUGAUCAUGACUCGCAGUUGACCCCUAUUGAUUUUCAGGUCACUAUAUCAAAGGUCAAGGUCACGGUGACCUGAAAUAGUAAAAUGGUUUCCGGAUGAUAACUGAAGAACGCUUAUUC